RNAcentral lists this unclassified non-coding RNA (408 nucleotides) under Hevea brasiliensis (rubber tree). Lineage: Eukaryota; Viridiplantae; Streptophyta; Magnoliopsida; Malpighiales; Euphorbiaceae. The record is from RNAcentral.
CUCCGAUAUUCGCCCCGCCCCGCCCCAUUACGAGGAAUGUUUCAAUUGCAAUAGAAUACAUUUUCCAAUCGCUUUUCCGGCGAAGUAGAGACGAUAAAUCGGCGACGGAGUAGAAAGGAAUGACGGAAACGGAGAACAAAAUUGCCAUCGGAAAAGAGAGAAACACCGCCGAUCACUGCCGUAUCAGCAAUAGUGAAAGUGUGAAUAAUCAGGGGGAAGCCGGAAGUGAAGGCAAAAAGGGAAGUUCAUCAUCUUCAUCAUCAUUGAAGAAUCCAGGAAAAUCAUGCAAAGGAUGUCUAUAUUACUCGUCUACUUAUAAAUCCAAUUCGCUGAAUCCUCUAUGCCUCGGACUUAGCCGUUCUAUUCCUCAAGUACCUCAAUAUAUUGUUGAGAAAACUGAGAUGCAAG